Molecule: long non-coding RNA, 1357 nt
Filed under: Hordeum vulgare
Lineage: Eukaryota; Viridiplantae; Streptophyta; Magnoliopsida; Poales; Poaceae
Description: long non-coding RNA (HVUL_LNC018424)
Source: RNAcentral
AUCGUUUAAGCACAAGUGGGGUUUCCACUUUUACAUAAAGCUUUCAAUGUGUCCACAUCUUAAGAGAUGCUUAUACUCAAGUCUUAGAGUAAAGCUCCCCCUUGAUGUGACAUCCCCCUAAGAGGGAUAAAAUAACCUUGGGUUUUAUCGUAGAACACUUCAUGUAGGUGUAUUAGUGAUGGAUGCUCAUUGUUUAUGAAUGUCAUCUUGAGAUGGGAGGAAUCCUUGUUGUUUCUUACUCUUCUCACCUACAUGGGUUAGUCCCAAAGCACAAGCAACAUAUGCAAGGAUAUCUAUGGACAUGGAAUGUAAUGCAUGUGAGAUGAUGUCCAAAGAUACAUUAACUACAUUGUCCCUUGCUUUCCUUUGAGGGAAUGUGUGACUCCUUGAACCAAUACAUAAAGUUGGAGUUGAUUGCAUUUAGUUCUUGCCAUAAUGAAUAAGAGUAGAUUUGAUUGGCGGAGUCACCCCAAAAGAACUUCUCUAGUUCUUAUUCCUGGGGACCCACAUCAACUUGAUCGGGAUCCUUGGAGUUGUGGUAGCACUAGAUGAAGUAGACCUAGUAGUGUCCUUGGGAAUCCACUUGACCCUGGUUUGGGGUUCUUCCUCAAAUGAGUCAAUCUCCUCUUGAAGCUUGCCCUUGCCCUUGUGGUCUUGUGGUAGAAGGUCAUCUAGAGAACUUGUUCCCUUGGGGAGAGUGAUACGUCUCCAACAUAUCUAUCAUUUUUUAUGGUUCCAUGCUAUUAUCUUGUCAAUCUUUGGAUGUUUUGUAUGCCUUUUAUAUAUUUUUUGGGACUAACUUAUUAACUCAGUGCCAAGUGCCAGUUCCUGUUUUUCCAUGUUUUUGACCCCUUUCAGAGGAGAAUUUUAAACGGUGUCCAAACAGAAUAAAAUGUCCGAAAAGAUUUUUUUCUGGAAUAAAAGAUACGCAUGGAACGUGAGAACCAAGGCAGAGGCCACCAGGGAGGCCACAAGCGCCCUAGGCGCAGCCAGGGGGGCCGUGCCUAGCAGCCUUGUGGGCCCCCUGUGGCUCGUCUGCCCUACCUCUUCUGCCUAUAAAUUCCCGAAAAAUCCAAAACUGGGUGAGAGAUCCACGAAAAUACUUUUCCGCCACCGCAAGCUUCUGUCUCCGCAAGAUCCCAUCUGGGGCACGUUCUGGUGCCCUGCCGGAGGGGGGAUUCGGAUACGGAGGGCUUCUUCAUCAACACCAUGACCUCUCUGAUGAUGCAUGAAUAGUUGACCAUAGACUUUCGAGUCCAUAGCUAUUAGCUAGAUGGCUUCUUCUCUCUCCUGGAUCUUCAAUACAAAGUUCUCCAUGAUCUUCAUGGAGAACUAUCUGAUGUAAUCUUCUUUUGCG